This 606-nucleotide ribosomal RNA is filed under the name uncultured bacterium. Its description in RNAcentral is "bacterial SSU rRNA". It matches the Rfam family "Bacterial small subunit ribosomal RNA", at positions 331 to 929 of the family's 1533-position model. The record is from RNAcentral.
CCAGACUCCUACGGGAGGCAGCAGUAGGGAAUCUUCGGCAAUGGGGGGAACCCUGACCGAGCAACGCCGCGUGAGUGAAGAAGGUUUUCGGAUCGUAAAGCUCUGUUGUUAAGGAAGAACGAGUGUGAGAAUGGAAAGUUCAUACUGUGACGGUACUUAACCAGAAAGGGACGGCUAACUACGUGCCAGCAGCCGCGGUAAUACGUAGGUCCCGAGCGUUGUCCGGAUUUAUUGGGCGUAAAGCGAGCGCAGGCGGUUAGAUAAGUCUGAAGUUAAAGGCAGUGGCUCAACCAUUGUAGGCUUUGGAAACUGUUUAACUUGAGUGCAGAAGGGGAGAGUGGAAUUCCAUGUGUAGCGGUGAAAUGCGUAGAUAUAUGGAGGAACACCGGUGGCGAAAGCGGCUCUCUGAUCUGUAACUGACGCUGAGGCUCGAAAGCGUGGGGAGCGAACAGGAUUAGAUACCCUGGUAGUCCACGCCGUAAACGAUGAGUGCUAGGUGUUAGGUCCUUUCCGGGACUUAGUGCCGCAGCUAACGCAUUAAGCACUCCGCCUGGGGAGUACGACCGCAAGGUUGAAACUCAAAGGAAUUGACGGGGCCCGCACAAG